CCCGCUGCCCGCUCCCCGCUCCCGCAACGCGCCCGCGGGUGGGUGCCGCGGCCUCCGCCCGGGGAAGAUGGAACAUCAUCUUUUAAAUAACCAAUGUGUGGAUUGAAUGAAGUUAAAGAUGUUUCUUUCUUUCAUGGUUUUAUAAAAUCAUUAUUUACUUUUUUGAAGAAUCAUGAGUAGUAGCUGCAGAGACAAAAGAUCCUUUGUAUGUUAUAAGUGAUAUUUUGACUAAGUGCUCUUGGUUGAUUCUGGCUGUGGAAUUUCCCUGCUUACAAAGUGAUUUUGAAGGGCUGCUUAAUCAAACCAAUAUUUUUCAUCUUUCUAUCAUAACACUUUUGAUAUAUUGCAGAUAAAGUAAAUUUUCAUGCUUUCAUUCCACAUACUUACCAAAAUUUGCAACUGUAUUGUGUGGACAGUGAUCACAGAAUGCAAAUGGAUUUGUUUUAAAUAAAGUACUCAGUGACAGUUGGUGCCUCACACA
Molecule: non-coding RNA, 481 nt
Organism: Anas platyrhynchos (mallard)
Lineage: Eukaryota; Metazoa; Chordata; Aves; Anseriformes; Anatidae
Source: RefSeq, a predicted model, not a curated record